GCCUGAGUGGCUCAGUCUGUGGAGCAUCUGACUUCAGCUCAGGUCAUCAUCUCAUGGUCCGUGAGUUCAAGCCCUGCAUCAGGCU
Molecule: transfer RNA, 85 nt
Filed under: Felis catus (domestic cat)
Lineage: Eukaryota; Metazoa; Chordata; Mammalia; Carnivora; Felidae
Rfam family: tRNA
About the family: Transfer RNA (tRNA) molecules are approximately 80 nucleotides in length.
Source: Rfam by way of RNAcentral